RNAcentral lists this ribosomal RNA (450 nucleotides) under Triticum aestivum (bread wheat). RNAcentral's name for it is "partial small subunit ribosomal RNA". Lineage: Eukaryota; Viridiplantae; Streptophyta; Magnoliopsida; Poales; Poaceae. The record is from RNAcentral.
AUGCGUGAUCAGGUCGGCAUCGACCUGGACGGCUUCCCUCUCGACCACGAGUUCCCGGAGGACUAUGGGCUAGAGGAAGAGGACGAGUGCGACGUCGAAGUGGAGCCUUUGUUCGAGGACGAGCUCGCCAACCAAGCCGCCAGUCCUAAGCUGAAGCGCAAGAGCAAGUGCACGAAGGCGUACACAGCUGCCGAGGACAAGCUUCUUUGUGAGUGUUGGCGAGACAUUGGACAAGACCCAAAGACGGGCGCCGAGCAAAAGCAUUCGACCUUUUGGACUCGUGUGCACCGAGAGUUUCAUGAGCGCAAGAAGUUUCCACCUUACCAAUUUGUGAGCAUGCGCGAGUGGGUCUCCAUUUCCAAGCAGUGGAGGGUGAUCCAACAAGAGUGCAACAAGUUUUGCGCCAAGGCCCGCCCCGUGAGCGGCAUCGGCAUGCAAGACAUGGUAUGA